GUGUGUGUGUGUGUGUGUGUGUUGUGUUUGUGUGUCAGUGUAGCGAAGGGAGAGAGCAGUGACCCCACCCGGUCUUGAACACAGGUUUCCAAACUAAAGUUUACAGUUGGGAUCCUCCAGAAGAGAAGAAAGAUGCUUCACUCCUGAGUCUCCUGCUUUAUUCUCACUCAGCUGCAGCUCUCUCAUGUGUGAGGGGUUUGAUCUCAGUGCUGAUGCAAGAGCUCUGAAGCCUUCAUCUCCAAUACUGCAGUAUGACAGACUGUAGAGAGAAAAAGGAGAGAGCAGUGACCCCACCUGGUCUCAAACACGGGUCUCCAAACUAAACAUGCAACUUGUGUUUGUGUGUGUGAAGUACAUUGUCAUCUUGAGAGCCCCUUCUCUGGCAUCACUCUCAUCCUGCUCUUUACCCUCAA
Molecule: long non-coding RNA, 413 nt
Organism: Alosa sapidissima (American shad)
Lineage: Eukaryota; Metazoa; Chordata; Actinopteri; Clupeiformes; Clupeidae
Exons: 4
Source: RefSeq, a predicted model, not a curated record